GAUGAACGCUGGCGGCGUGCCUAAUACAUGCGAGUCGAGCGAACAGAUGAGGAGCUUGCUCCUCUGACGUUAGCGGCGGACGGGUGAGUAACACGUGGAUAACCUACCUAUAAGACUGGGAUAACUUCGGGAAACCGGAGCUAAUACCGGAUAAUAUAUUGAACCGCAUGGUUCAAUAGUGAAAGACGGUUUUGCUGUCACUUAUAGAUGGAUCCGCGCCGCAUUAGCUAGUUGGUAAGGUAACGGCUUACCAAGGCAACGAUGCGUAGCCGACCUGAGAGGGUGAUAGGCCACACUGGAACUGAGACACGGUCCAGACUCCUACGGGAGGCAGCAGUAGGGAAUCUUCCGCAAUGGGCGAAAGCCUGACGGAGCAACGCCGCGUGAGUGAUGAAGGUCUUCGGAUCGUAAAACUCUGUUAUUAGGGAAGAACAAAUGUGUAAGUAACUAUGCACGUCUUGACGGUACCUAAUCAGAAAGCCACGGCUAACUACGUG
This 497-nucleotide ribosomal RNA is filed under the name uncultured bacterium. RNAcentral describes it as "partial 16S ribosomal RNA". It matches the Rfam family "Bacterial small subunit ribosomal RNA", at positions 28 to 507 of the family's 1533-position model. The record is from RNAcentral.